UGAACUGCGAAUGGCUCAUUAAAUCAGUUAUCGUUUAUUUGAUAGUACCUUACUACAUGGAUACCUGUGGUAAUUCUAGAGCUAAUACAUGCUAAAAACCCCGACUUCAGGAAGGGGUGUAUUUAUUAGAUAAAAAACCAACGCCCUUCGGGGCUCCUUGGUGAAUCAUAAUAACUUAACGAAUCGCAUGGCCUUGCGCCGGCGAUGGUUCAUUCAAAUUUCUGCCCUAUCAACUUUCGAUGGUAGGAUAGUGGCCUACCAUGGUGGCAACGGGUAACGGGGAAUUAGGGUUCGAUUCCGGAGAGGGAGCCUGAGAAACGGCUACCACAUCCAAGGAAGGCAGCAGGCGCGCAAAUUACCCAAUCCCGAUACGGGGAGGUAGUGACAAUAAAUACUGAUACGGGGCUCUUUUGGGUCUCGUAAUUGGAAUGAGAACAAUUUAAAUCCCUUAACGAGGAACAAUUGGAGGGCAAGUCUGGUGCCAGCAGCCGCGGUAAUUCCAGCUCCAAUAGCGUAUAUUAAAGUUGUUGCAGUUAAAAAGCUCGUAGUUGAACCUUGGCUCUGGCUGGCCGGUCCGCCUCACCGCGAGUACUGGUCCGGCUGGAGCUUUCCUUCUGGGGAACCUCAUGGCCUUCACUGGCUGUGG
Molecule: ribosomal RNA, 646 nt
Filed under: Penicillium sp.
Lineage: Eukaryota; Fungi; Ascomycota; Eurotiomycetes; Eurotiales; Aspergillaceae
Description: SSU rRNA
Rfam family: Eukaryotic small subunit ribosomal RNA
Source: RNAcentral